AGACAGUUCGGUCCCUAUCUGCUGUGGGCGUUGGAUGAUUGAGAGGGGCUGCUUUUAGUACGAGAGGACCGAAGUGGACGAACCUCUGGUUUACCAGUUAUUCUGCCAAGGGUAAGUGCUGGGUAUCUAAGUUCGGAAGGGAUAACCGCUGAAAGCAUCUAAGCGGGAAGCCCGCCUCAAGAUAAAUCAUCCCUGAGGAUUUAAUCCUCCUAAAGACUACGGACAGACUAUCCGUUUGAUAGGUUGCAGGUGUAAGUAUAGUAAUGUAUUCAGCCGAGCAAUACUAAUAAGUCGUGAGGCUUGACCAU
This 308-nucleotide ribosomal RNA is filed under the name Candidatus Treponema excrementipullorum. Its description in RNAcentral is "partial 23S ribosomal RNA". It matches the Rfam family "Bacterial large subunit ribosomal RNA", at positions 2624 to 2925 of the family's 2925-position model. The record is from RNAcentral. Lineage: Bacteria; Pseudomonadati; Spirochaetota; Spirochaetia; Treponematales; Treponemataceae.